RNAcentral lists this ribosomal RNA (254 nucleotides) under uncultured bacterium. RNAcentral describes it as "partial 16S ribosomal RNA". It matches the Rfam family "Bacterial small subunit ribosomal RNA", at positions 524 to 776 of the family's 1533-position model. The record is from RNAcentral.
UACAGAGGGUGCGAGCGUUAAAUCGGAAUUACUGGGCGUAAAGCGUGCGUAGACGGUUCUGUAAGUCGGAUGUGAAAUCCCCGGGCUCAACCUGGGAAUUGCAUUCGAGACUGCAAAGCCUGGGUGCGGAAGAGGGAAGCGGAAUUUCCGGUGUAGCGGUGAAAUGCGUAGAUAUCGGAAGGAACAUCAGUGGCGAAAGCGGCCUCCUGGUCCAGCACCGACGUUCAGGCACGAAAGCGUGGGGAGCAAACAGG